GACGAACGCUGGCGGCGUGCUUAACACAUGCAAGUCGAACGGAAAGGCCCUGCUUGCCGGGUGCUCGAGUGGCGAACGGGUGAGUAACACGUGGGUGAUCUGCCCCUUACUUUGGGAUAAGCCUGGGAAACUGGGUCUAAUACUGGAUAGGACCAUGCUGUAGGUGGUGUGGUGGAAAGAUUAGUUUCGGUAAGGGAUGAGCUCGCGGCCUAUCAGCUUGUUGGUGGGGUAAUGGCCUACCAAGGCGUCGACGGGUAGCCGGCCUGAGAGGGUGGACGGCCACAUUGGGACUGAGAUACGGCCCAGACUCCUACGGGAGGCAGCAGUGGGGAAUAUUGCACAAUGGGCGCAAGCCUGAUGCAGCGACGCCGCGUGGGGGAUGACGGCCUUCGGGUUGUAAACUCCUUUCAGCCAUGACGAAGCCCUUGUGGUGACGGUAGUGGUAGAAGAAGCACCGGCCAACUACGUG
RNAcentral lists this ribosomal RNA (469 nucleotides) under uncultured bacterium. RNAcentral's name for it is "partial 16S ribosomal RNA". It matches the Rfam family "Bacterial small subunit ribosomal RNA", at positions 28 to 507 of the family's 1533-position model. The record is from RNAcentral.